AACGAACGCUGGCGGCAUGCCUAACACAUGCAAGUCGAACGAGACCUUCGGGUCUAGUGGCGCACGGGUGCGUAACGCGUGGGAACCUGCCCUUAGGUUCGGAAUAACUCCCCGAAAGGGGUGCUAAUACCGGAUAAUGUCUUCGGACCAAAGAUUUAUCGCCUUUGGAUGGGCCCGCGUUGGAUUAGCUAGUUGGUAGGGUAAAAGCCUACCAAGGCGACGAUCCAUAGCUGGUCUGAGAGGAUGAUCAGCCACACUGGGACUGAGACACGGCCCAGACUCCUCCGGGAGGCAGCAGUGGGGAAUAUUGGACAAGGGGCGAAAGCCUGAUCCAGCAAGGCCGGGUGAGUGAUGAAGGCCUUAGGGUUGUAAAGCUCUUUUACCCGGGAUGAUAAGGACAGGACCGGGAGAAAAAGCCCCGGCUAACUCCGU
RNAcentral lists this ribosomal RNA (432 nucleotides) under uncultured bacterium. RNAcentral's name for it is "partial 16S ribosomal RNA". It matches the Rfam family "Bacterial small subunit ribosomal RNA", at positions 29 to 506 of the family's 1533-position model. The record is from RNAcentral.